RNAcentral lists this ribosomal RNA (651 nucleotides) under uncultured bacterium. RNAcentral describes it as "bacterial SSU rRNA". It matches the Rfam family "Bacterial small subunit ribosomal RNA", at positions 8 to 654 of the family's 1533-position model. The record is from RNAcentral.
AGAGUUUGAUCCUGGCUCAGAUUGAACGCUGGCGGCAUGCCUUACACGUGCAAGUCGAACGGCAGCACGGAGCUUGCUCUGGUGGCGAGUGGCGAACGGGUGAGUAAUAUAUCGGAACGUACCCUAGAGUGGGGGAUAACGUAGCGAAAGUUACGCUAAUACCGCAUACGAUCUAAGGAUGAGAGUGGGGGAUCGCAAGACCUCAUGCUCGUGGAGCGGCCGAUAUCUGAUUAGCUAGUUGGUAGGGUAAAAGCCUACCAAGGCAUCGAUCAGUAGCUGGUCGGAGAGGACGACCAGCCACACUGGAACUGAGACACGGUCCAGACUCCUACGGGAGGCAGCAGUGGGGAAUUUUGGACAAUGGGCGAAAGCCUGAUCCAGCAAUGCCGCGUGAGUGAAGAAGGCCUUCGGGUUGUAAAGCUCUUUUGUCAGGGAAGAAACGGUGAGAGCUAAUAUCUCUUGCUAAUGACGGUACCUGAAGAAUAAGCACCGGCUAACUACGUGCCAGCAGCCGCGGUAAUACGUAGGGUGCAAGCGUUAAUCGGAAUUACUGGGCGUAAAGCGUGCGCAGGCGGUUUUGUAAGUCUGAUGUGAAAUCCCCGGGCUCAACCUGGGAAUUGCAUUGGAGACUGCAAGGCUAGAAUCUGGCAG